GAAUAUUGGACAAUGGGGGCAACCCUGAUCCAGCGACGCCGCGUGGGUGAAGAAGGCCUGCGGUUGUAAAGCCCCUUCGGUGGGGAUGAAAAGCUUCGCUCUAACACAGUGGAGUCUUGACCUAACCCACAAAAGAAGCACCGGCUAACUCUGUGCCAGCCGCCGCGGUAAUACAGAGGGUGCGAGCGUUAAUCGGAAUUACUGGGCGUAAAGCGCGCGUAGGCGGCUUUGCAAGUCGAUUGUGAAAUCCCCGGGCUCAACCUGGGAACUGCAUUCGAGACUGCAUUGCUAGAGUAUGGGAGAGGGAAGUGGAAUUUCAGGUGUAGCGGUGAAAUGCGUAGAUAUCUGAAGGAACAUCAGUGGCGAAAGCGACUUCCUGGACCAAUACUGACGCUCAUGUGCGAAAGCGUGGGGAGCAAACAGG
RNAcentral lists this ribosomal RNA (424 nucleotides) under uncultured bacterium. RNAcentral describes it as "bacterial SSU rRNA". It matches the Rfam family "Bacterial small subunit ribosomal RNA", at positions 359 to 776 of the family's 1533-position model. The record is from RNAcentral.